Molecule: transfer RNA, 63 nt
Filed under: Loxodonta africana (African savanna elephant)
Lineage: Eukaryota; Metazoa; Chordata; Mammalia; Proboscidea; Elephantidae
Rfam family: tRNA
About the family: Transfer RNA (tRNA) molecules are approximately 80 nucleotides in length. Their secondary structure includes four short double-helical elements and three loops (D, anti-codon, and T loops).
Source: Rfam by way of RNAcentral
UGUGGUGUAAAUGGUUAUCGUGCUUGGCUGCUAACCAAAAUAUUAGAGGUUCAAAUCCACUCA